CUCGCGGCUGUUGGGACUGCCGUGACGUCAGCCGCGCUGCGGCUUCUCACUCACUCAGAGGCAAGUGCUGAGCUAUUUGUGCUGUCUUACCUAGUCCCGUCCGCUCCCGACUCAACCGGUGCCCAGCCCGUUGCUGGAGAGGUACAUUCUGCAGAUCCCUGAUGAGCCAAGGGAACCCACCACCGUACCCGGGCCCGGGCCCGACAGCCCCGUACGCACCUUAUCCACAGCCACCAAUGGGGCCUGAGGCCUAUCCCCCGGGACCUAUGGGAGGACCUUACCCACCUCCUCAGGGGUACCCCUACCAAGGGUACCCACCAUAUGGCUGGCAAGGUGGACCUCAGGAGCCUCCUAAAACCACAGUGUACGUGGUGGAAGACCAAAGAAGGGAUGACCUGGGCCCCUCCACCUGCCUCACCGCCUGCUGGACUGCUCUCUGUUGCUGCUGUCUCUGGGACAUGCUCACCUGACCGGCCCGGCCCAGCCGUCCUGCCAGCUCUGCAGCCACCGCCAACAGGCGUGCCUGCCUCCAUCUCCUCUGAUUGCUGAAAUAAAUGACUAGCUCUGCACAGACACUUCUACCUUCGACACAGUGGGAUUCUAGAUUAGCAGGGGUUGCUGCUGUUUAAUUCAGUGACUUGAUCUUUCUAAUGUUCAAAAUCCAUUUCCUGUUGGCCUUUCACAAAUGUGCUAAAUGACCUUCCAUUGUUUUUGUUUUUGGCCAAAGGCUUAGUUGUGAAAUAUAUAUAUAUAUACAUAAUUUUUAAAUUAUACAUUCAAGAUAGUGGCAUAAUGUAACAUACUACUGAAUGAUUUCUCUGCUAACACCCUCUAUGUUUCAAUAAAUUUGUCUAAACCUCAA
Phyllostomus discolor (pale spear-nosed bat) is the source of this 862-nucleotide long non-coding RNA. RefSeq lists it as uncharacterized. The record is from RefSeq and is a predicted model, not a curated record. The transcript has 3 exons. Lineage: Eukaryota; Metazoa; Chordata; Mammalia; Chiroptera; Phyllostomidae.